GGGUCAGUAGGUUGGUCGUGCCACCGGUACGUACUGGUCUCACUGAUUCCUCCUUCCUGAAGAACCGUAAUGCCAUUAAUUUGGUGUUGCGGGGAAACAGGACUGUUACUUUGAAAAAAUUAGAGUGUUUAAAGCAAGCUAACGCUUGAAUACAUUAGCAUGGAGUAAUGAAAUAGGACGAUCGAUCCUAUUUUGUUGGCUUCUAGGAUUGACGUA
Molecule: ribosomal RNA, 216 nt
Filed under: Glomeromycotina sp.
Lineage: Eukaryota; Fungi; Glomeromycota
Description: partial small subunit ribosomal RNA
Rfam family: Eukaryotic small subunit ribosomal RNA (bases 40-216)
Source: RNAcentral